GUCCACGCUGUAAACGAUGAGCACUAGGUGUUGCGGGUAUUGACCCCUGCAGUGCCGACGCUAACGCAUUAAGUGCUCCGCCUGGGGAGUACGGCCGCAAGGCUAAAACUCAAAGGAAUUGACGGGGGCCCCGCACAAGCGGUGGAGUAUGUGGUUUAAUUCGACGCAACGCGCAGAACCUUACCCGGGUUUGACAUCGAGGUAAGACUCCCAGAAAUAGGAGUCGCCCCUUCGGGGGACCAAAGACAGGUGCUGCAUGGCUGUCGU
RNAcentral lists this ribosomal RNA (267 nucleotides) under uncultured bacterium. Its description in RNAcentral is "partial 16S ribosomal RNA". It matches the Rfam family "Bacterial small subunit ribosomal RNA", at positions 793 to 1055 of the family's 1533-position model. The record is from RNAcentral.